Molecule: ribosomal RNA, 497 nt
Filed under: uncultured Chryseobacterium sp.
Lineage: Bacteria; Pseudomonadati; Bacteroidota; Flavobacteriia; Flavobacteriales; Weeksellaceae
Description: partial 16S ribosomal RNA
Source: RNAcentral
CACGGAGUUGGCCGGUGCUUAUUCGUAUAGUACCUUCAGCUUUCCACACGUGGAAAGGUUUAUCCCUAUACAAAAGAAGUUUACAACCCAUAGGGCCGUCGUCCUUCACGCGGGAUGGCUGGAUCAGGCUCUCACCCAUUGUCCAAUAUUCCUCACUGCUGCCUCCCGUAGGAGUCUGGUCCGUGUCUCAGUACCAGUGUGGGGGAUCACCCUCUCAGGCCCCCUAAAGAUCACUGACUUGGUAGGCCGUUACCCUACCAACUAUCUAAUCUUGCGCGUGCCCAUCUCUAUCCACCGGAGUUUUCAAUAAAAAACGAUGCCGUCUCUUAUAUUAUGGGGUAUUAAUCUUCCUUUCGAAAGGCUAUCCCCCUGAUAAAGGCAGGUUGCACACGUGUUCCGCACCCGUACGCCGCUCUCUCUGUUCCGAAGAACAAUACCGCUCGGCUUGCAUGUGUUAGGCUCCCGCUAGCGUUCAUCCUGAGCCAGGAUCAAACUCU